GGUCUGGUUGGACGGUCUGCUCUCUAGGGUUUGUACUGUCCUGACCGGGCCUUACCUUCUGGUGAGCUGUCGUGUUGUUUACUCAGUGCGGCAGGGAACCAGGACUUUUACUUUGAAAAAAUUAGAGUGUUUAAAGCAGGCAUUCGCUUGAAUACAUUAGCAUGGAAUAAUAGAAUAGGA
This 180-nucleotide ribosomal RNA is filed under the name uncultured Glomeromycotina. RNAcentral describes it as "partial small subunit ribosomal RNA". The stretch from base 93 to 180 matches the Rfam family "Eukaryotic small subunit ribosomal RNA", at positions 737 to 827 of the family's 1831-position model. Lineage: Eukaryota; Fungi; Glomeromycota. The record is from RNAcentral.